GACGAACGCUGGCGGCGUGCUUAACACAUGCAAGUCGAACGGAAAGGCCCUGCUUUUGUGGGGUGCUCGAGUGGCGAACGGGUGAGUAACACGUGAGUAACCUGCCCUUGACUUUGGGAUAACUUCAGGAAACUGGGGCUAAUACCGGAUAGGAGCUCCUGCUGCAUGGUGGGGGUUGGAAAGAUUCGGCGGUUGGGGAUGGACUCGCGGCUUAUCAGCUUGUUGGUGGGGUAGUGGCUUACCAAGGCUUUGACGGGUAGCCGGCCUGAGAGGGUGACCAGCCACAUGGGGACUGAGAGACGGCCCAGACUCCUACGGGAGGCAGCAGUGGGGAAUAUUGCACAAUGGGCGGAAGCCUGAUGCAGCAACGCCGCGUGCGGGAUGACGGCCUUCGGGUGGUAAACCGCUUUCGCCGGUGACGAAGCGGGAGUGACGGUAAUGGGUAAAGAAGCACCGGCUAACUACGUG
This 468-nucleotide ribosomal RNA is filed under the name uncultured bacterium. Its description in RNAcentral is "partial 16S ribosomal RNA". It matches the Rfam family "Bacterial small subunit ribosomal RNA", at positions 28 to 507 of the family's 1533-position model. The record is from RNAcentral.